RNAcentral lists this long non-coding RNA (1032 nucleotides) under Elaeis guineensis (African oil palm). Its description in RNAcentral is "long non-coding RNA (EGUI_LNC071937)". Lineage: Eukaryota; Viridiplantae; Streptophyta; Magnoliopsida; Arecales; Arecaceae. The record is from RNAcentral.
ACCAAAGGCACACCAGCGGACGAAGCAUAUUCUGCGCCGCUACCAUCUCAUCCGGGAGAUCGUGGAUUGAGGUGACGUCGACCUUCAAAAGAUCGACGGGAAGGAGAACCUGGCCGACCCAUUCACUAAAGCCAUUGCGGUGAAGGAGUUCAACGACUACAAGUCGAAGAUGGGUAUUAGAAACUGCACUGAUAGGCUUUAGGCCAAGUGAGAGAUUGUUGGGAAUAGUGUUCCAAAGCCAAUCGUCAGCCUAUUGACGGUUGUGCUCCUUUUUAUAUUAGUACAUGAAUUAUAAAUAAAUAAAAGUUAUUUUGGUAUUUUUUUAUCACAAAUGUUUCAUCUUCUAAUGAACUCCUGUGUUGUGGUGAAGUCCUUAGGACUAUUUAGACUCGACAAAGGAGGAUUUGUCGCUUAGUCCUCAAAUAUGUUCGCGACCAAAUGAUACGUUGUUACCAAAGACGACAACGUUUAUCGAGCAUAGGUCAUUGUGUGCCAUAUGGGUUGGUUGUCCUCAUAACCAAAGAGUGUGGAGACACUGGUAUGGCAUACAGGUGAGAUGUAAUGGUACAUCUGCACUGAACGUGACCAACUCCGGAGCUAUUUCUGCUGUCAAGAUUUGCUCCGAUGGGAUAUGGGUAUAAAUGUCCCUCCGACCUGAGACCGCCACGGUGACUUGCAAGCAACUCACUGUACUUAGGUACUGGACUAUCUGAAUUUCUAAUUCAGUGACGGAAGGUUGCUGGGUGUAGUCAAGUACUUGACUUGUCGGUGCGUGUGUCAAGAUGGGAUUGACCACUCCAGUUUAGGAGCUGUGUACAGUCGUGUUUUAAUUUAGCAAAACCUUGACCAGGGUAGUCCUAGUGAGGAGUCACAGGACUAAUUGAGUUGAGCAUGAUUCGGAUGAUAUCAUCAGGGUUGACAAUUUAACCCUGAGUCAUCCUAAACACAGGGGUCAAAAGGGAUGAAUUAUAUGGUAACCAUAUUCACGUAGGUUCUGAAUAUUACGAUUGCGAUUAUUCGACCUAUCCGGUC